ACAUCCAGAGAAUUUAGCAGAGAUGCUUUAGUGCCUUCGGGAACUCUGAGACAGGUGCUGCAUGGCUGUCGUCAGCUCGUGUUGUGAAAUGUUGGGUUAAGUCCCGCAACGAGCGCAACCCUUAUCCUUUGUUGCCAGCACGUAAUGGUGGGAACUCAAAGGAGACUGCCGGUGAUAAACCGGAGGAAGGUGGGGAUGACGUCAAGUCAUCAUGGCCCUUACGAGUAGGGCUACACACGUGCUACAAUGGCGCAUACAAAGAGAAGCGACCUCGCGAGAGCAAGCGGACCUCAUAAAGUGCGUCGUAGUCCGGAUUGGAGUCUGCAACUCGAUUCCAUGAAGUCGGAAUCGCUAGUAAUCGUAAAUCAGAAUGUUACGGUGAAUACGUUCCCGGGCCUUGUACACACCGCCCGUCACACCAUGGGAGUGGGUUGCAAAAGAAGUAGAUAGCUUAACCUUCGGGAGGGCGUUUACCACUUUGUGAUUCAUGACUGGGGUGAAGUCGUAACAAGGUAAGCGUAGUGCU
RNAcentral lists this ribosomal RNA (526 nucleotides) under uncultured bacterium. RNAcentral describes it as "bacterial SSU rRNA". It matches the Rfam family "Bacterial small subunit ribosomal RNA", at positions 984 to 1509 of the family's 1533-position model. The record is from RNAcentral.